CACUGACCCGCUGUUACUUUUAUCCCUUUCGUCUUCCUGGCCUCUGCUUGCUGUGUUUAUUUCCUCGGCGCCGUCGCUUCCACUGUUUUCCCCUUUCGUCUGAGCUCGGCGGAUCCACGCUGUUCGUGUCCUGUCCGUUGUUGCUUUCGUUCUUUGCUUUGCCUUCUUCUGCCCGGCCUACUGUGUUGCCUUGGCGUGGCCGCCGUAUUUGCUGUGUCUGUCGGAUUCACCAUCGCUGAGCUCGCCGUACCACGGUGGGGGCUUUGCCCUUGCCGCCGUGGGCCUAUCUGGUGUUCGUUUCGUCUGUGUGCCAGAUCCAGAUGACUUCGGCGUCUGCCCGUUGGUGUCUGUCGUUCUUGCUGGGUUGUUAGCUUCUUUGGUUUCUGUUCGUUGGUCAGCUUACAGGCUUGGUUUCUUCGGUUUGGUUAUUGUUUAUUGCUUGCAUCAUUUCAGCGCUGCGGAUUGCCUAGGUAAUUCCUGCCUCUUCUUUUAAUCACCUCUGUGCUUAUCGUCUUAUGCCUUUGUUUUACUCUGCUAACUGAUGCACGCCACUUCCUGUCUGUUUUCCUUUCCUUCUUCCUACUAAAUAGUUAGCAUCAGACAUGAAUAGUCGAUGAGGUCACAGUUUUGAAAUUCAUCCUUUAUACACUGAUGAGUUUUUGCUAAUUUGCAUCAUUGUUAUGCUGCUCUUAUCUUUUGUAACUCCUUUGAUUAUACAACUGCCAUUCGUGGGCUAUAAUUUUGUUGCGCUGAAUUUGUGCUUGGUUCAUAAGUAGUUGCAGGAAACAUUUAGGUCUAUCAAUAUCCAUUUCUAAAAUUCAGAGAUACAUACAGACAUAUAUGCUUCACUUCAUAGGAAACAUUCAGGUGUAUCAAAUUUGAGACACUCUAUCAUUGCAGACCACAUGAGGCAUAGAAGCUCUUAAUGCCCGCGCGCUCACUCAAGCCUAAAUUAUCUUCCAAACCAUACAUGGAUACCUCCACCAUGUAGACCUGAAGCAGCUAACGAUGUCAUACAUGGUCCAGCUAAUUUAUGUAAAAAGCACUAGACUGUAGUAUCAGCUGUUACAACUUUUGUAGUAUGUCACAUUGGUAUUAUGGUGUGCAUAGGAUCCAUAUAUAUUAUGUUGUUGCUAUGUAUGCACUACUAAUAUAUAUCAAAAUGUAUCGUUGUGCAUGUGUUAUCCAUGCACAACAGAAUCAAACUUAUAUAUGUAUGCUCUCUAAAUAUUUGUUACAAGUAGCUAGGACUUAAUAUCUCUUUAGUCCCCAAUCAAAAGAAAUUACAGCUUCUCAUUCUUUCUUCACACAAAAUUUCAGAUUUUUUUUGUAAACUUAAUUAGAAGAACCUACACCAACUCAACAGGAAGACUAUGAAGCCCAUAGCCCCAUACUGUAUAGCCCACUUAAAAAAAAAAGUUGGUCCUAUAGGCCCAACAAAGUAAAUAAAAAAAGGACACAAAAAAGGCAAAAAAAAGAUAGAACUUUGAAGAGGCUCCUAGAAAUUAGGUGAGCACACUGACAACAUUAACUCAUCCCCACUUCUCCCUCAUCCAGACACUCCCACACAUACACCUCUCACUUCGGCGCCAUCACCAGACCCAUCUUCUUCACCAAGUUAUCCAACUCCGCCCCCUCUGCUACCCACCCACUGGCCUCCAUAGCUAAUCAGCACCACACCUAAAAGCACCCUGUCCAAUCCACAGUCACAUAGGAUAGGCGAAGCAAGAUUGUUGCCUGCACAGGAUAUCAACAUUGCAGCUCCAAUCUCUAUCUCUAUCCACGUGGCACCAUGGCACCAAGAAUGUACUGCGACAACGCCUCAGUCCACAUUCUGUACACUUGAAUCUACAAGAUCGUCGCCGUGCACAAGGUCAAAGAAACAAGAUGCCAGCAUACCAGUACCCCAAUCUCACAAUAAUUGAAGAAGGACAACUUCAACGGGACGAAAGAGAUGUGUUUCAGGCUGCGGUCAUCUUCGAAGUGCCACCUUCGGCGAUGCAUAUUAUAGGACACGAAGAAAUCAACAACGCAAUACAUCAACAACUUCGGGUCGACAUAAAUGUACAAGACAUAUCAAAGUUUGGCUCUAAUUACUUCAUAAAGACUAACUGUCAACAGACAACUGCCCCGAUGCUACAGCACACCUUCCUCAAAGUUGGCUCACACACACUAACACUUAAACCAUGGAACCCAUAUUACAACGCCAUCAUAUUUCCUUGUGAGACACAGACCACCAACCUCAGAUUCACCAAUUUGGCCAAUUCUUCCCAGAGAACGCUAACUGUUCAGAUUUCUGGAAUACCGCCGCAUCUCUGCUGUGAUUUCACAGUGAACCGGCUCCUCAGUGAAAUAUGCACUAUCCAUACCAUUUCAUUUGAGCCCGCGACACUAUCACUCAAUUGAUGUGCAUGGAUCACAAACUCUCAUGCCUCAAGCAGCACAUGUAGCACUUAGCAAGACACCCAUGGUCCUCUCCUCAACAUUUGGCCAAUAUGGUACGACACAUAUGUACAAGAAAUGCUUGGCCAACUAUCCCCGACAACCUAUGAUUGGAUGCCAUCUUUACACAUGGAGGUGACACGGAUCUGGACACAUAGCAAAGACAUGAAGCAUGACUCAGGUAUCCAAAAACUAAACAACUGCACUCAUAUAUAGGUGAACAGAACGAAGUUAACUCUCAGCCAUGAGGCGGAACGCCACACAAUCCGGAUACAGACUCAUCCAUUAGCAUUUCAAGCGAUGACGAACACGGAUGGGAAUCAGAUUGAAGCAUAAACAUUGGUUGAUGCUGGUGCUUUGGGAGAAGCAACCAAACUGUAAAACCCAGAGCUCUCUUUCCGUGUGAAAUAUUUUUGUAUGUUAUGUAAAGUAAGGACCUAACAUCUUAUGAUGCUUUCGUAUGGUCAGCACAAUCAACAUGUACUAAACUUGUUUCAAAAAAAUAUACUAAACCUGAUAACUGCUAAAGUAUGUAGUAGUCCUCUCUAUAUAUAACCAUAUCGUCUAUAUUAUCCUUCCGUACCACCAUGGCUGACUCCACGAUUGUCUGUACUCGCGCGCAAAUGCGCGCGUCGACCACUAGUUCUCCCCUAAAUUCUCCGACGGCUUCCAGGAAGAGAAGCAGGUGCCACGUCGCCUGGAAUUCUCGUGUCCGUCGGAUUUCCCAACGGAUGGCCACGGUUCUUCAAAGCAGAUUGUUCCGGAAGCCGAUUCCGCUGCUUCUCGCCAGAUUCUUUCGCUUCUUACCUGCUUCCGCCGCUUCUCGUCCGAAUCUAUAUAAUCAAAUAUAUAGGCCAGCUUCGGCUUCUCCUACCCGCUUCUCACCCCUUCCUCUCUCCUCUUCGCGUCUCUCCCCGACGCUGGCAGGAGCGAUGGCGGCUCCCGGGACCGGGGCUCGACGGCGGCGCCCACCUUCCUCCUCCUCCUCCGUUCCUCCCUCCUCGCCUGCUUCGCACCUCCGUUCCUCCCUCCCCUUCAUCUCUCUCUCCCUCCCUCCCGAGGUGGCGGCGGGCGCGAGGUGACGGGCUGACGGCGGCCCUCGCGGGCAGCGCUCCGACGCGGCUGUGGCCCGGCGGCCCCUCCCUCUCCCUCAGCCUCCACGCGGUCUCCUCGAUGCCUCCUCCCGCUGGGGAGCAUCAGCAUGUGCUUCUGUGCUCGACGAAACCCUAGCACAUGCAGCUGUGCAGGCGCGGCGGCCCCUCCAUGGGCACACCUCGACGCCGCGUCAGUCUGCGUUUCUUCCUCCAGCUGUUAUACGUGCUAUUGCCUAUGGAUCAAUAUGCAUGCAAUUGACAGUACUCCCUACGGAUCAAAUAUACAUGCACUUCAGAAAUUUAAAGGGUUCAUGUUGAUUCAACUUGGUCAUUGUGCUGCUGUUGGAGCUCAGGACAUGCAUCAUUUGCGCAGGGAUAUUCGGUUUAGUAUGUGGCAUUUCUAUUCUAUGUGAUAAUUUGAUGUUUCAAAUAGCACGUCCUUAUGUAGAUAUGCACUGAUUGUUUCUUAGCAGGAUCACCUCCAAACAAAUUAGAUCAGCGAUCUUUUUUUGUCACUUUGAUUUAUCCACCACUCUAAAUUGAUUUAGCACCUGAGCAAGUUGUCAAUGACAUGUUAGUUUCAGGAUUCUGCCUAGGUUAGUGGAGGACUUGGCGGACGGUAGCAUUGACUAAAAUUUGCCCAAUUUUGCCUAGUUGUAUAUCUCAUUGAAUGACAACCCAACCUACUGAGCUCUGUUCAAGCUGUCAAACUUGCAACAUCUUCUCCUAUCGACCAACGGUGAUGCCACCAUACUAAAAAUUAAUGACUUUGGGUUUGCCAAGUGAGAGCAGUUAUGGGCAGAUAGAAGGGUUUGUUUGCUGUUGGAAUUCUGUACAGAUCCUAUCUCCUACAGUGCAUCAAACAAAAAAAAGGGUGACGAUGUAAAGGGUUAAUGAAGAUGGGAGAUGCAGAGGCGUCAGUCCGUGUGUAUGAUAAGGCGAACUUCCUUGGCCCAUUUUUUUCAGAUAAUGGCUUGGUUAACUUUGAGAAGAAAGAUUCCUAUGUACAGCUUUCACUGUCCCUAAUCUCUUCAAAAUGUUACCAACUUAUGUAACAUACAUGGCUUCAAACAUAUAUGUACGUGGCUUCUGUUAUCAGCAUGUAAACGCAUCAGAGGCUAUGCGUGUGUAAUAGACGCAUCCUGUACAUGUAUAUCUCUAGGAUCAUUAUCUUGUUACGGACAACUUGCAGUAUUUACUGACUCACGCGCGCGAUGGCGCGCGGGUUGUACUAGUAUAUGUUUCUUUCCCCCGCCACGAAAAGGAAAAGAGGUGAGGCGCACGAUUUCCAAAACGCUGCGUGUUUUAUAGACAUUUGACUGAUAAGUUAUGGCAGAAAGUACUGUUGGCUGAUU
This is a long non-coding RNA of Sorghum bicolor (sorghum), 4891 nucleotides long. RefSeq lists it as uncharacterized. The transcript has 12 exons. Lineage: Eukaryota; Viridiplantae; Streptophyta; Magnoliopsida; Poales; Poaceae. The record is from RefSeq and is a predicted model, not a curated record.